UUCUUUUCUCCAACUCUAAACCUUCUAAACCUCAAGGUUCCAGCCCCAAACACUUAGAAUCAUAACCUCCUCAACAUACAAUAGAUUUCAACUCAAAAUCACAACCGGAAACAUGUCCCAAAUCAACAAGGGACCUCAACAACACAAUCAACAAUAUCAACAACACAACCAACAAUUUCAACAACACAAUCAAUCUUUUCUCAAUAA
RNAcentral lists this long non-coding RNA (207 nucleotides) under Solanum tuberosum (potato). RNAcentral describes it as "long non-coding RNA (STUB_LNC007535)". The record is from RNAcentral. Lineage: Eukaryota; Viridiplantae; Streptophyta; Magnoliopsida; Solanales; Solanaceae.